Molecule: ribosomal RNA, 501 nt
Filed under: uncultured bacterium
Lineage: Bacteria
Description: partial 16S ribosomal RNA
Rfam family: Bacterial small subunit ribosomal RNA
Source: RNAcentral
AUUGAACGCUGGCGGCAUGCCUUACACAUGCAAGUCGAACGGCAGCACGGGUGCUUGCACCUGGUGGCGAGUGGCGAACGGGUGAGUAAUACAUCGGAACGUACCUUAUCGUGGGGGAUAACGCAGCGAAAGCUGUGCUAAUACCGCAUACGCCCUGAGGGGGAAAGCGGGGGAUCGAAAGACCUCGCGCGAUUAGAGCGGCCGAUGCCUGAUUAGCUUGUUGGUGGGGUAAAAGCCCACCAAGGCGACGAUCAGUAGCUGGUCUGAGAGGACGAUCAGCCACACUGGGGCUGAGACACGGCCCAGACUCCUACGGGAGGCAGCAGUGGGGAAUUUUGGACGAUGGGGGCAAGCCUGACGACGCAACGCCGCGUGGAGGAUGAAGGUCUUCGGAUUGUAAACUCCUGUUGAUCGGGACGAAAAGCUCCAACCUAAUACGUUGGAGACUGACGGUACCGGUUGAGGAAGCCACGGCUAACUCUGUGCCAGCAGCCGCGGUAA